GGGAUAACACCUGGAAACAGGUGCUAAUACCGCAUAAGCGCACAGGGCCGCAUGGCCCGGUGUGAAAAACUCCGGUGGUGUAAGAUGGACCCGCGUCUGAUUAGCUUGUUGGCGGGGUAGGGGCCCACCAAGGCGACGAUCAGUAGCCGGCCUGAGAGGGUGGACGGCCACAUUGGGACUGAGACACGGCCCAAACUCCUACGGGAGGCAGCAGUGGGGGAUAUUGGACAAUGGGGGAAACCCUGAUCCAGCGACGCCGCGUGAGUGAAGAAGUAUUUCGGUAUGUAAAGCUCUGUCAGCAGGGAAGAAAGAAAUGACGGUACCUGACCAAGAAGCCCCGGCUAACUACGUGCCAGCAGCCGCGGUAAUACGUAGGGGGCAAGCGUCAUCCGGAAUUACUGGGUGUAAAGGGAGCGUAGACGGUGAUGCAAGUCUGGAGUGAAAGGCGGGGGCCCAACCCCCGGACUGCUCUGGAAACUGUGUAACUUGAGUGCAGGAGAGGUAAGCGGAAUUCCUAGUGUAGCGGUGAAAUGCGUAGAUAUUAGGAGGAACACCAGUGGCGAAGGCGGCUUACUGGACUGUAACUGACGUUGAGGCUCGAAAGCGUGGGGAGCAAACAGGAUUAGAUACCCUGGUAGUCCACGCCGUAAACGAUGAUUACUAGGUGUCGGUGGGUAUGGACCCACCGGUGCCGCAG
Molecule: ribosomal RNA, 697 nt
Filed under: uncultured bacterium
Lineage: Bacteria
Description: bacterial SSU rRNA
Rfam family: Bacterial small subunit ribosomal RNA
Source: RNAcentral